AGAUGGCGACCGGCGCACGGGUGAGUAACACGUAUCCAACCUGCCGAUAACUCGGGGAUAGCCUUUCGAAAGAAAGAUUAAUACCCGAUGGCAUAGUUCUUCCGCAUGGUGGAACUAUUAAAGAAUUUCGGUCAUCGAUGGGGAUGCGUUCCAUUAGGUUGUUGGCGGGGUAACGGCCCACCAAGCCUUCGAUGGAUAGGGGUUCUGAGAGGAAGGUCCCCCACAUUGGAACUGAGACACGGUCCAAACUCCUACGGAGGCAGCAUG
Molecule: ribosomal RNA, 267 nt
Filed under: uncultured bacterium
Lineage: Bacteria
Description: partial 16S ribosomal RNA
Rfam family: Bacterial small subunit ribosomal RNA
Source: RNAcentral